AGUUGUAUCCUGGCUCAGGAUGAACGCUAGCGGUAUGCCUAACACAUGCAAGUCGUACGAGGGUUUCAUACCCAAGUGGCGGACGGGUGAGUAACACGUGAGAAUUUGCCCUAAGGAGGGGGAUAACAACUGGAAACGGUUGCUAAAACCCCAUAUGCUUCCGAGUGAAAUAGAUUUAUCUGCCUUAGGAGAAGCUCGCGGCUGAUUAGCUAGUUGGUAAGGUAAUGGCUUACCAAGGCGACGAUCAGUAUCUGGUUUGAGAGGACGAUCAGACACACUGGAACUGAGACACGGUCCAGACUCCUACGGGAGGCAGCAGUGGGGAAUUUUCCGCAAUGGGCGAAAGCCUGACGGAGCAAUACCGCGUGAAGGAAGACGGCCUAUGGGUUGUAAACUUCUUUUUUCAGGGAGGAACUCAAUGACGUGUACCUGAAGAAUAAGCAUCGGCUAACUCCGUGCCAGCAGCCGCGGUAAGACGGAGGAUGCAAGUGUUAUCCGGAAUCACUGGGCGUAAAGCGUCUGUAGGUGGUUUAAUAAGUCGACUGUUAAAUCUUGAGGCUUAACCUCAAAAUCGCAUUCGAAACUAUUAGACUUGAGUAUAGUAGAGGUAAAGGGAAUUUCCAGUGGAGCGGUGAAAUGCGUAGAUAUUGGAAAGAACACCGAUGGCGAAGGCACUUUACUGGGCUAUUAC
RNAcentral lists this ribosomal RNA (691 nucleotides) under uncultured bacterium. RNAcentral describes it as "bacterial SSU rRNA". It matches the Rfam family "Bacterial small subunit ribosomal RNA", at positions 10 to 740 of the family's 1533-position model. The record is from RNAcentral.